CCUACGGGGCGCAGCAGUAGGGAAUCUUCCACAAUGGACGAAAGUCUGAUGGAGCAAUGCCGCGUGAGUGAAGAAGGCCUUCGGCUCGUAAAGCUCUGUUGGAAGAGAAGAACGGUAAUGGUAGUAAAUGAUCUUUAUUUGAUGGUAACUUACUAGGAAGCCACGGCUAACUACGUGCCAGCAGCCGCGGUAAUACGUAGGUGGCAAGCGUUGUCCGGAAUUAUUGGGCGUAAAGCGAGUGCAGGCGGUACCAUAAGUCUGA
RNAcentral lists this ribosomal RNA (262 nucleotides) under uncultured bacterium. RNAcentral describes it as "partial 16S ribosomal RNA". It matches the Rfam family "Bacterial small subunit ribosomal RNA", at positions 338 to 592 of the family's 1533-position model. The record is from RNAcentral.